UUGACAUGUCCGGAAUCCUGAAGAGAUUUGGGAGUCGCGUCGCAAGAGAACCGGAACACAGGUGCUGCAUGGCUGUCGUCAGCUCGUGUCGUGAGAUGUUGGGUUAAGUCCCGCAACGAGCGCAACCCUUGUCAUUAGUUGCCACCAUUCAGUUGGGCACUCUAAUGAGACUGGCCGGUGACAAACCGGAGGAAGGUGGGGAUGACGUCAAGUCCUCAUGGCCCUUAUGGGUAGGGCUUCACACGUCAUACAAUGGUCGGUACAGAGGGUCGCCAACCCGCGAGGGGGAGCCAAUCCCACAAAGCCGAUCGUAGUCCGGAUUGGAGUCUGCAACUCGACUCCAUGAAGUCGGAAUCGCUAGUAAUCGUGGAUCAGCAUGUCACGGUGAAUACGUUCCCGGGUCUU
RNAcentral lists this ribosomal RNA (405 nucleotides) under uncultured Rhodocyclaceae bacterium. Its description in RNAcentral is "bacterial SSU rRNA". It matches the Rfam family "Bacterial small subunit ribosomal RNA", at positions 981 to 1382 of the family's 1533-position model. Lineage: Bacteria; Pseudomonadati; Pseudomonadota; Betaproteobacteria; Rhodocyclales; Rhodocyclaceae. The record is from RNAcentral.